UCAAUGGCAGGUCUCAGGGAGCAGCAUGUUCCUUCUGCAGUGACACUUAUCGAAGCCUUUGUGGCCCCGCAAGGGGUCUGCACCGCGACUGUAAAUAAUGGAUGCAGUGCCUGUAGCUACGCUCCAGGCAUGCAAGUCAGCGCUCUUGCUGGCGACACCUUCGAAUUGCGGGGACACCCUAAAGCCCGUGUCUACUAACCUGGUGGGGAAACCCGACCAGGGGCCUGUGUUAACAGCACAGGGUACAGUAAAAAGGACACGGGAUCAGCCUCUGGGCUGAAUGGGCAAUCCGCAGCCAAGCCCUACCGCGACUGCCCCCCGGCAGGCCAUGGGACAGGUUCACAGACUAAGUGGAGGUGGGCAGGCCUUGAGGACCUGCUUAAGAUAUAGUCGGGCCCCUUGGGAAACCUUGGGGGUUAAGUCACAAGCAAAACAAGUGGGAGGGUCUGUCAUGCAUCUGCGUGACUGCAUCCUGCUUGUGCCUAUGUCAACCGUUCCGUAGGUGAACCUGCGGAAGGAUCAUUACCGAGUGUUGGGGUCUCUCAGGCCCCUUACUCCCACCCCAUGUGUACCUACCUUUCUUCAGUUGCCUUGGCGGGUCCCUCCCUCAGCGGGAGGGGUUCAGCCCGCCAGGGGGACUCCCCCUAAACUCUUUGAACUUGGGUCGUCUGAGAAAGCAAUCAAAUGAAUGAAAACUUUCAACAACGGAUCUCUUGGUUCUGGCAUCGAUGAAGAACGCAGCGAAAUGCGAUAAGUAAUGUGAAUUGCAGAAUUCAGUGAAUCAUCGAAUCUUUGAACGCACAUUGCGCCCUCUGGUAUUCCGGGGGGCAUGCCUGUUCGAGCGUCAUUUCAAACCCUCAAGCUCCGGCUUGGUGUUGGGCGCCGUCCGCCUGAGGACGCGCCUGAAACUCGUAGGCGGUCGCGCGCGGCUCCUCAGCGUAGUCAAGUUCUCGCUCUGGACGCCCGCGUGCGGGCCCGCCUGGGAAACCACUCAUCUCAAAGGUUUGACCUCGGAUCAGGUAGGGAUACC
This 1030-nucleotide ribosomal RNA is filed under the name Neochlamydotubeufia khunkornensis. RNAcentral describes it as "eukaryotic LSU rRNA". The stretch from base 694 to 847 matches the Rfam family "5.8S ribosomal RNA". Lineage: Eukaryota; Fungi; Ascomycota; Dothideomycetes; Tubeufiales; Tubeufiaceae. The record is from RNAcentral.